This 424-nucleotide ribosomal RNA is filed under the name uncultured prokaryote. RNAcentral's name for it is "bacterial SSU rRNA". It matches the Rfam family "Bacterial small subunit ribosomal RNA", at positions 355 to 774 of the family's 1533-position model. The record is from RNAcentral.
UCGAGAAUCUUCGGCAAUGGGCGCAAGCCUGACCGAGCGACGCCGCGUGCGAGAUGAAGGCCUUCGGGUUGUAAAUCGCUGUCAGUGGGGAGGAAAUGCCGGUGGGUUCUCCCAUCGGUUUGACCUAUCCGCAGAGGAAGGACGGGCUAAGUUCGUGCCAGCAGCCGCGGUAAGACGAACCGUCCAAACGUUAUUCGGAAUCACUGGGCUUAAAGGGUGCAUAGGCGGCCCGGAAAGUUGGGUGUGAAAGCCCUCGGCUCAACCGAGGAACAGCGCCCAAAACUGCCGGGCUCGAGGAAGACAGAGGUGAGCGGAACUUAGGGUGGAGCGGUGAAAUGCGUUGAUAUCCUAAGGAACACCAGUAGCGAAAGCGGCUCACUGGGUCUUUUCUGACGCUGAUGCACGAAAGCUAGGGGAGCAAAGA